Molecule: long non-coding RNA, 1279 nt
Organism: Cyprinus carpio carpio
Lineage: Eukaryota; Metazoa; Chordata; Actinopteri; Cypriniformes; Cyprinidae
Source: Ensembl
AUGCGAACAUGUCGCUGUUCUGCGCGCUCAGACCGGUCUGUCUGCCCUCGGGCUGCACGUCAGUUAUGGGAGAGUCAGGAACCUGUCGCCUGUCCAGGAUGCAGUCAGAGCGAACGGUGUGUGUACAUUACAACAGGUUUCUUCAUUAGCAUGCAAGCAGUCCCUCACAGAGGCGGAUUUACAAGAACUGAAGAUUAAGAACACCGUCACAAAAGCUAUGUCUGAUGUCUGCAUUUUAAACACAAAAUUGAACAUUUUAUUACUUGUUCUUAUGAAAAUGUGAGCAGUUGUGAUAUUUAAACUCCCUUUGACCAUGUCAGGACUGUUUAUCCCACACGCUGUCUUUUAAUACCGUAUACGUCACAAUGCCUGUGUCCUCCUUUAUUCUCAGCUCUCGCUCACCUGUACACAUCAUAAACCCAGGUUAGUCAUUUCCCACCUGCCCAUUUGCUUUUACCUGUUCUAAAAUGAAACCUGUGUUGUAAACCUGCCUCUCAUAACCCCACAAAACAUAUGCAAUUUCCUGCCAGAUGAAAGGAGACUUUAAAAACUUUUUAUUGGCAAAUAAGUCCCCCUCCACCCUGCCACUGAAAAUCUCCUUCACACAGAAAUCUCCACUUUAUUUAGUGGAGAGAGAAUGAAAACAGGCCAGUAUUUGCUCUCUGGCGCUGUAUCUCUGAUAAAUGUCACCUGUAUGCUCUCAUUCAUCCACAAUAGAGACUGGAAUAUUUGUGGUCGGGUGAAAUGAACGUGAAAAGCACACACACACACACACACACACACACACACACACACACACACACACACACACACACACACACACACACACACACAAGCUGGUGUAAAUGUUGACUGAGAGCGAUUGGAGGCAUGUAUUGUCAUAUGUGUGCGCCUCGGGAAACUCUUCAACUUUGCCUGUUUGUCUUUGGUCGUUUUUUUUUUUUUUCUGCCAGGAUCAAGGAAUAGAGAGAAACGUAUGACCACCCAAACACGGAAGUAACCAGGACACACCCGGAGUCAUAAACUGUGGCAAGGGGCCAAACCUUUGGAUCAUACACAGAUAGAGAAACAAUACCUGAAGCACAAUUCCUGGUAAAUGAGCAAUAGUACAAAAGGAAGGAGUAAUAAACACAACAGUGGAAGAUUGAAAGAAUGAUGGGUUUACUCCCCAUCUGACAUGGUUUACUAUAGUAAAAAACAAACCGUCCGGACGGUAAUCAAGGCUUUUAAGUGACCUAAAUACUGUUUCAGAUACACAGUUACACUAGCCGUAGAAACC